CGUACAACGGGACAGCGGUGGCAGGUUCAGUAUUAGGUAAUAAAAACAAAGAAACGCGCCGGACGAGGCACGCUCGCAGUAUCAUACUACGAUAGUAGAGAGGACUGACACGCGAUAAAAAGUGUGGGAUACGGCGGCUGUCGGUCGUAGCCACAAUCACGAGAACUCUUGUUUUCCCCCCCCCCGGGUACUAGCAUAUCAAUAAGCGGAGGAAAAGAAACCAACAGGGAUUACCUCAGUAACGGCGAGUGAAGCGGUAAAAGCUCAAAUUUGAAAUCUGGCUCUUUUAGAGUCCGAAUUGUAAUUUGUAGAAGAUGCUUCGGGUGUGGUUCCGGUCUAAGUUCCUUGGAACAGGACGUCAUAGAGGGUGAGAAUCCCGUAUGUGACUGGAUACCUAUGCUCAUGUGAAGCUCUUUCGACGAGUCGAGUUGUUUGGGAAUGCAGCUCAAAAUGGGAGGUAUAUUUCUUCUAAAGCUAAAUAUUGGCCAGAGACCGAUAGCGCACAAGUAGAGUGAUCGAAAGAUGAAAAGCACUUUGGAAAGAGAGUUAAACAGUACGUGAAAUUGUUGAAAGGGAAGCGCUUGCAAUCAGACUUGCACUUGGUGUUCAUCAGGGUCUCGUACCCUGUGUACUUCAUCAAGUUCAGGCCAGCAUCAGUUUGAGUGGUUAGAUAAAGGCUUAGAGAAUGUGGCCCUCUUCGGGGGGUGUUAUAGCUCUAGGUGCAAUGUAGCCUACUUGGACUGAGGACCGCGCUUCGGCUAGGAUGCUGGCGUAAUGGUUGUAAGCGACCCGUCUUGAAACACGGACCAAGGAGUGUACCUAAUAUGCGAGUGUUUGGGUGUUAAACCCAUACGCGUAAUGAAAGUGAACGCUGGUGAGAACCCUUAAGGGUGCAUCAUCGACCGAUCUUGAUGUCUUCGGAUGGAUUUGAGUAAGAGCAUAUUGGGUGCGACCCGAAAGAUGGUGAUCUAUACGUGAAUAGGGUGAAGCCAGAGGAAACUCUGGUGGAGGCUCGCAGCGGUUCUGACGUGCAAAUCGAUCGUCAAAUUUGCGUAUAGGGGCGAAAGACUAAUCGAACCAUCUAGUAGCUGGGUUCCUGCCG
This 1102-nucleotide ribosomal RNA is filed under the name Botrytis cinerea. RNAcentral's name for it is "LSU rRNA". The stretch from base 157 to 1102 matches the Rfam family "Eukaryotic large subunit ribosomal RNA", at positions 1 to 963 of the family's 3401-position model. Lineage: Eukaryota; Fungi; Ascomycota; Leotiomycetes; Helotiales; Sclerotiniaceae. The record is from RNAcentral.